This 655-nucleotide ribosomal RNA is filed under the name Aureonarius callisteus. Its description in RNAcentral is "eukaryotic LSU rRNA". It matches the Rfam family "Eukaryotic large subunit ribosomal RNA", at positions 1 to 627 of the family's 3401-position model. Lineage: Eukaryota; Fungi; Basidiomycota; Agaricomycetes; Agaricales; Cortinariaceae. The record is from RNAcentral.
UGACCUCAAAUCAGGUAGGACUACCCGCUGAACUUAAGCAUAUCAAUAAGCGGAGGAAAAGAAACUAACAAGGAUUCCCCUAGUAACUGCGAGUGAAGCGGGAAAAGCUCAAAUUUAAAAUCUGGCAGUCCUUUAACUGCCCGAGUUGUAAUCUAGAGAAGUGUUAUCUGCGCUGGACCAUGUACAAGUCUUCUGGAAUGGAGCAUCAUAGAGGGUGAGAAUCCCGUCUUUGACAUGGACUGCCAGGGCUUUGUGAUGCACUCUCAAAGAGUCGAGUUGUUUGGGAAUGCAGCUCAAAAUGGGUGGUAAAUUCCAUCUAAAGCUAAAUAUUGGCAAGAGACCGAUAGUGAACAAGUACCGUGAGGGAAAGAUGAAAAGAACUUUGGAAAGAGAGUUAAACAGUAUGUGAAAUUGCUGAAAGGGAAACACUUGAAGUCAGUCACAUUGUCCAGGGAUCAUCCCUUGCUUUUGCUUGGUGUACUUUCUGGUUGAUGGGUCAGCAUCAAUUUUGACUAUUGGAAAAAGGUUGAGGGAAUGUGGCAUCUUAGGAUGUGUUAUAGCCCUUGGUUGCAUACAAUAGUUGGGAUUGAGGAACUCAGCAUGCCGCAAGGCCGGGUUUUUUUUUACAAAAAACCACGUACAUGCUUAGGAUGCU